This 21-nucleotide non-coding RNA is filed under the name Caenorhabditis elegans. Lineage: Eukaryota; Metazoa; Nematoda; Chromadorea; Rhabditida; Rhabditidae. The record is from RNAcentral.
UAAGCGAGGCGUUUCAUCAUG